RNAcentral lists this long non-coding RNA (3270 nucleotides) under Salvia miltiorrhiza (redroot sage). Its description in RNAcentral is "long non-coding RNA (SMIL_LNC005359)". Lineage: Eukaryota; Viridiplantae; Streptophyta; Magnoliopsida; Lamiales; Lamiaceae. The record is from RNAcentral.
UCACAUAAUAAGUCCCAUUCAUCAACAUAAAUCAUAGGUUCAGUCCAACAAAAUAAAAGUCUAGCAACAUAAAAAUAUCGCCAUCUAGUGAAGUGUUUCAAGUUCAACAAAAUAAAAGUCUAACAACAUAAAAAUAUCGCCAUCUAGUGCCCGUUCUUGGAGUCCAAUCCACAAAUAGUUCUUCAUAUCAGGACAUACUCAUCCUGAAAAUUUCAAGAUGAAAAUAUAAGAACAUAUCAGGCUGAAAUCAAGUGAAUCCAAUUAGGAAAAGGCAUAAGUUUUAUAAUUUGUAGACUCAAUAUAAUCUUAUCUCAAUAAUGGAUCAAUUUGCUCAAACUAACCAUCAACGUCAAUAGUGGAGAUCGAGGAGGAUUCCGUUUGAGGUUCAUCAUCGCCAUGUAGAAAGUUUUCGGCUAACUCACAUGUUGGUACUUCGCUUUUGAAGGCUUUGAAGAAAAAAAAAUUAGAAUUGGUAUAUAUAUCAAUAAUUUAAAAUGUCAACAUUANUUAUAACCUGAAUUUGACCUGAUUAAACACGAACACAGUAAUUACACGAAUUUGACCUGAUUAAAACAACACAAUAAUAAUACAAUAAUAUGUGAAUUACAUAUCAAAUUAACCACUGAACAGAUUCAUGGUUUGAAAAAACAAUGAAAUUUAAAAGCUCACAUAAUAAGUCCCAUUCAUCAACAUAAAUCAUAGGUUGAGUCCAACAAAAUAAAAGUCUAGCAACAUAAAAAUAUCGCCAUCUAGUGAAGUGUUUCAAGUUCAACAAAAUAAAAGUCUAACAACAUAAAAAUAUCGCCAUCUAGUGCCCGUUCUUGGAGUCCAAUCCACAAAUAGUUUUCAUAUCAGGACAUACUCAUCCUGAAAAUUUCAAGAUGAAAAUAUAAGAACAUAUCAGGCUGAAAUCAAGUGAAUCCAAUUAGGAAAAGGCUAAGUUUUAUAAUUUGUAGACUCAAUAUAAUCUUAUCUCAAUAAUGGAUCAAUUUGCUCAAACUAACCAUCAACACAAUAGUGGAGAUCGAGGAGGAUUCCGUUUGAGGUUCAUCAUCGCCAUGUAGAAAGUCUUCGGCUAACUCACAUGUUGGUACUUCGCUUUUGAAGGCUUUGAGAAAAAAAAAUAUGAAUUGGUAUAUAUAUCAAUAAUUUAAAAUAGUCAACAUUAAUAACACAAAGAAGUUAUACCUUUUUUCUCCAAACAACCAAUCUCUAGUGCAAAUAAUUGCCUCCACUGUGCUUUCUUUAAGUGAGCUACGAUAUUGAUCAAGUACUCUUCCACCAACACUAAAAACAGCUUCGGAAGCCACCGUAGUUAUGGGAAUGCUCAAAAUAUCACGAGCCAUGCGAGCUACUUGUGGAUACUUGUAUUGAUUCCCUUUCCAAAAGCCAAGAACAUCAAGAUUGGAUUUGGCAUCCAAUCUUGCUUCUUGCAUAUACAACUCUAAUUGUGACUUUUGUUCGCUUAAUCCAAACUCAUCCAAAGACACUAAAACUCUGUAGUUAAAAUACAAAUGAAAAUUUUAAUUAACAAGUAAGAAAUUUGAAUAAUAUUAAUAACAUAAGUAAAUAUAAUUUAGUAAUUUACCUCAACCACCGCUUUAGAUUCUUCGUUUGUGAAUUCACAGGUUGAAUCAUUUAAUGUCGGACCCCCACUUCUAGUAAGACCAAAACUGUCACUGUUGCUCUUAUGAUAUUCUUCAAAUAGAGCAAAUAACUUCUCUCUUACUAGUGAACACUGACGAGAGUUAGGGCCAUACAACUUCUUAUAAAAGAAUUCCACAAACUGAAACUUAUAGCGUGGAUCAAAGACCACAGCCAUAGUCAAGAUCAAGCUGAAAUCGGACCAAUACUUCUCAAACUUUGGUAGCAUCUUCUCAGCCAUUUUCUUUAUAUAAACAUCCGAACUAUUGCAACUUUGUCUCAAUGAACUGUAGCACAUGACAACGGGCUGAAAAUACAAAUUUGUUGUAGGAUAAUUGCUACCAGAAAACAAGUUCGAGACAUCGUAGAACAAGCUCAAGAAACCACGAAUCUUCUCAAUUCUAUCCCAUUCAACUGAAGAAGGACAAUGCUUGUAGUUGGGAUCAACAAGUUGAAAAUUCAUGAAUGCUUUCCUAUAAUAUAGUGCAUUAUCAAGCAUCAAAAAGGUAGAAUUCCACCUAGUAGGGACGUCCUGCCUUAGUCCUCUCUUACUUUGCAAAGAUAACUUGCUUACACAUUCCAAAAAUUUCUGCCUCCUCAUUUGUGAACCCCUCACAUAUUUCACACUUUCACGGAUCUUAACAACAGAAUUUUCAAUAUCAUUCAAACCAUCUUGGACUACCAAAUUGAUAAUAUGUGCACAACAACGGAUAUGGAAGAAUUCACCAUCACAAAGAAGUGCAUUAUUCAAGUUCAACUGUGAGAUCAACAACUCAACAGACACAUCAUUUGCACUAGCAUUAUCCAAAGUCAAAGAAAAUACUUUGUUUUCAAUCCCCCAGUCACAAAGCAUGGAAAACAACUUAUUUGAUAAUGCUACACCAGUAUGAGGAGAUGGCAUCAAAGAAAAAUUCAACACCUUCUUACGUAACACCCAUUCCUCAUCAAUGAAGUGACAAGUAAGAGAAAUAUAACCAUCUGUUGUAAUAGAACUCCAACAAUCAGAAGUCAAGGAAAUUCUACCACAUGCUUUUUGCAAUUCAGACUUAAUCUUCAUCUUUUCUCUUUCAUACAAUUUCAAAACAUCAGCCUUCACUGUAUUUCUAGUAACCAUCUUAAUAUCCCACUUAAGAUACUCAAAAAUAGCUAUAAUGCGUUCAUAUUCAACGAAUCGAAAUGGCAAAUCAUGAACAACAAUAGCAGCACACAAUAACUCCCUAAAGUGAUCAGGAUCAAAUUUUGUUUUACUAGUAGUCAUCAAUUCACCAACAUCAUGUGUAUUCUUCCUUUGACAACCAUCUAAAUGACGUUUCAAGUUUCCAGUUCCACAUUUGCUUGUCACUUUGUAAUAACGAUGCCCACAAUAGACACACACACAUGUUUUGGAACCAUCUGCACUAGUAGUAACUUUAUAGUGAUUCCAACAGCUGACCUCGGUUUUCUUUUGUUCGUUGGGGGCUUAGCUGUAGGAUUGGACGUCCCUAAACCAGUUUCUGCAUCUGUGGCAGCAGAAGGGGCAACAGCUGCAGGGCUAGCAGUAGAAGCAAUACAAGGCAUUUCACUUGUAUAUGUCGUAAAAGUAUUUUCAUCACCAUCGGUAUCAUCAUUGCUAGACAUAAUUACCUA